GGAAGGCGGAACCGUCGAGGUUCUCCGCCGCGUCGCUGCGUCGGAGCUAAGACGGGAAGCCGGUGCGAUGCCGGCGCUGCCCCCGCAACUGUAAGCGGUGAGCGGCGGUCGAUGCGUGUCACUGGCGGGUUCACUCGCCGGGAAGGCCAGACCGUUCGUGUCGAUCCGCGAGCCAGGAGACCUGCCUCGGCGCGAUAACGACC
This 203-nucleotide non-coding RNA is filed under the name Sphingomonas sp. Lineage: Bacteria; Pseudomonadati; Pseudomonadota; Alphaproteobacteria; Sphingomonadales; Sphingomonadaceae. The record is from RNAcentral.